RNAcentral lists this ribosomal RNA (468 nucleotides) under uncultured bacterium. RNAcentral's name for it is "partial 16S ribosomal RNA". It matches the Rfam family "Bacterial small subunit ribosomal RNA", at positions 28 to 507 of the family's 1533-position model. The record is from RNAcentral.
GAUGAACGCUGGCGGCGUGCUUAACACAUGCAAGUCGAACGGUGAAGGCGGAGCUUGCUCUGCUGGAUCAGUGGCGAACGGGUGAGUAACACGUGAGCAAUCUGCCCCUGACUCUGGGAUAAGCGCUGGAAACGGCGUCUAAUACUGGAUACGAGCUGCGAAGGCAUCUUCAGCAGCUGGAAAGAAUUUCGGUCAGGGAUGAGCUCGCGGCCUAUCAGCUUGUUGGUGAGGUAAUGGCUCACCAAGGCGUCGACGGGUAGCCGGCCUGAGAGGGUGACCGGCCACAAUGGGACUGAGAAACGGCCCAGAGUCCUACGGGAGGCAGCAGUGGGGAAUAUUGCACAAUGGGCGAAAGCCUGAUGCAGCAACGCCGCGUGAGGGAAGACGGCCUUCGGGUUGUAAACCUCUUUUAGCAGGGAAGAAGCGAAAGUGACGGUACCUGCAGAAAAAGCGCCGGCUAACUACGUG